AUACGGAGGGUGCAAGCGUUACUCGGAAUCACUGGGCGUAAAGCGCGCGCAGGCGGCUAUUUAAGUUGGAUGUGAAAGCCUACGGCUCAACCGUAGAACUGCAUCCAAAACUAUUUAGCUAGAGUGUGAGAGAGGAAGAUGGAAUUAGUUGUGUAGGGGUAAAAUCCGUAGAGAUAACUAGGAAUACCAAAAGCGAAGGCAAUCUUCUGGAACACUACUGACGCUGAGGCGCGAAAGCAUGGGGAGCAAACAGAAUUAGAAACCCCAGUAGUCC
RNAcentral lists this ribosomal RNA (274 nucleotides) under uncultured bacterium. Its description in RNAcentral is "partial 16S ribosomal RNA". It matches the Rfam family "Bacterial small subunit ribosomal RNA", at positions 523 to 796 of the family's 1533-position model. The record is from RNAcentral.